RNAcentral lists this ribosomal RNA (475 nucleotides) under iodate-reducing bacterium M4. Its description in RNAcentral is "bacterial SSU rRNA". It matches the Rfam family "Bacterial small subunit ribosomal RNA", at positions 1 to 475 of the family's 1533-position model. The record is from RNAcentral.
UUAGAGUUUGAUCCUGGCUCAGAUUGAACGCUGGCGGCAGGCCUAACACAUGCAAGUCGAGCGGAUGAGUGGAGCUUGCUCCAUGAUUCAGCGGCGGACGGGUGAGUAAUGCCUAGGAAUCUGCCUGGUAGUGGGGGACAACGUUUCGAAAGGAACGCUAAUACCGCAUACGUCCUACGGGAGAAAGCAGGGGACCUUCGGGCCUUGCGCUAUCAGAUGAGCCUAGGUCGGAUUAGCUAGUUGGUGAGGUAAAGGCUCACCAACGGCGACGAUCCGUAACUGGUCUGAGAGGAUGAUCAGUCACACUGGAACUGAGACACGGUCCAGACUCCUACGGGAGGCAGCAGUGGGGAAUAUUGGACAAUGGGCGAAAGCCUGAUCCAGCCAUGCCGCGUGUGUGAAGAAGGUCUUCGGAUUGUAAAGCACUUUAAGUUGGGAGGAAGGGCAGUAAGUUAAUACCUUGCUGUUUUGACGU